UGUUUAUAUGAACUACAUGCCGAAUGCCGAUAUGUGUGGAGUGUGGUUGCUCACUGUAUAUGCAGAGUUGGGAUGUGACUGAAAACAUUGAAGUUUCGUUACCGUUGGAAGAUUUCAUGUACAUAGUACAUACUAUGCAAAAUGUGGAGUCAAUUGUACGCUGACGAAAGCUGCAAAACAACUGAGCCAGCUCCACAAGCACGACCUGACUGAAGCAUUAAAUCUUAUUUGUCUGUGAAUAUUUCGCUACGUAGUUUGUCAGCCUUCAAUUUGAUUUUGGUGCCAAUCUGAAUAACUGUACAGCCAGUGCUGAAAAAUCCUUUAGCAAACUGAAGCUAUUUAAAAACUCCGAAGCACAAUGGGUAACUAAACGAUAGAUUAAGCAGUUUACAGUUUAGCCAUCAUCUCAAUCAAGAACUUAACAGCAAGACAACUUGACAAGAAAGAGCUGGCCCAAUUUGAUGCUCUUUCCAAACCUAAGAGAGUUGCUUGGAAUAUGAACUGUACGGUAAUGUAAAUAUUAUGUAGUAUUGAAAAAUGUAAAUUGAUUUUUAUUUCCAUAUUUUUAUCUGUUAUUGCUACCUGUUA
Long non-coding RNA from Bolinopsis microptera, 588 nucleotides. RefSeq lists it as uncharacterized. Lineage: Eukaryota; Metazoa; Ctenophora; Tentaculata; Lobata; Bolinopsidae. The transcript has 2 exons. The record is from RefSeq and is a predicted model, not a curated record.